Molecule: ribosomal RNA, 463 nt
Filed under: uncultured Streptococcus sp.
Lineage: Bacteria; Bacillati; Bacillota; Bacilli; Lactobacillales; Streptococcaceae
Description: bacterial SSU rRNA
Rfam family: Bacterial small subunit ribosomal RNA
Source: RNAcentral
CCCGGCACAAGCGGUGGAGCAUGUGGUUUAAUUCGUAAGCAACGCGAAGAACCUUACCAGGUCUUGACAUCCCGAUGCUAUUUCUAGAGAUGAAAGUUACUUCGGUACCAUCGGUGACAGGUGGUGCAUGGUUGUCGUCAGCUCGUGUCGUGAGAUGUUGGGUUAAGUCCCGCAACGAGCGCAACCCCUAUUGUUAGUUGCCAUCAUUCAGUUGGGCACUCUAGCGAGACUGCCGGUAAUAAACCGGAGGAAGGUGGGGAUGACGUCAAAUCAUCAUGCCCCUUAUGACCUGGGCUACACACGUGCUACAAUGGUUGGUACAACGAGUUGCGAGUCGGUGACGGCGAGCUAAUCUCUUAAAGCCAAUCUCAGUUCGGAUUGUAGGCUGCAACUCGCCUACAUGAAGUCGGAAUCGCUAGUAAUCGCGGAUCAGCACGCCGCGGUGAAUACGUUCCCGGGCCUU